UUGGAGGGCAAGUCUGGUGCCAGCAGCCGCGGUAAUUCCAGCUCCAAUAGCGUAUAUUAAAGUUGUUGCAGUUAAAAAGCUCGUAGUUGAAUUUCGGGAUCAAGGAAUCGGUCAUGCCUCGGUAUGUACUGGUUUUAUUGGUUCUCACCUUCUAAAGAACCAUAAUGUCAUUCAUUUGAUGUUAUGGGGAAUUAGGACUGUUACCUUGAAAAAAUUAGAGUGUUUAAAGCAGGCUUACGCUUGAAUACAUUAGCAUGGAAUAAUGAAAUAGGACAUCAGAUUCUAUUUUGUUGGUUUCUAGGAUCGAUGUAAUGAUUAAUAGGGAUAGUUGGGGGCAUUAGUAUUCAAUUGUCAGAGGUGAAAUUCUUGGAUUUAUUGAAGACUAACUACUGCGAAAGCAUUUGCCAAGGAUGUUUUCAUUAAUCAAGAACGAAAGUUAGGGGAUCGAAGACGAUCAGAUACCGUCGUAGUCUUAACCAUAAACUAUGCCGACUAGGGAUCGGAUGAUGUUAAUUUUUUAAUGACUCAUUCGGCGCCUUACGGGAAAC
This 548-nucleotide ribosomal RNA is filed under the name Septoglomus constrictum. Its description in RNAcentral is "SSU rRNA". It matches the Rfam family "Eukaryotic small subunit ribosomal RNA", at positions 548 to 1098 of the family's 1831-position model. Lineage: Eukaryota; Fungi; Glomeromycota; Glomeromycetes; Glomerales; Glomeraceae. The record is from RNAcentral.